GUGCUUGCUUCAUGCAGCAGAUUGGGAUGGUUGAGUAUCUCGCCUCUCAGUUCUGCCUGUAUUCUACCCUUGUUUGUCAUAUACUAUUAUUUCCUCGGCAGGCUUGCUUGCCGAGUGAAACCAUUUAUAACCUUUUUAAUUUUCAAUCAGCGUCUGAAAAAAUUAAUAAUUACAACUUUCAACAACGGAUCUCUUGGUUCUGGCAUCGAUGAAGAACGCAGCGAAAUGCGAUAAGUAGUGUGAAUUGCAGAAUUCAGUGAAUCAUCGAAUCUUUGAACGCACAUUGCGCCCCUUGGUAUUCCAUGGGGCAUGCCUGUUCGAGCGUCAUUUGUACCUUCAAGCUUUGCUUGGUGUUGGGUGUUUGUCCCGAGGGACUCGCCUUAAAGUAAUUGGCAGCCAGUGUUUGGUUUUGAAGCGCAGCACAAGUCGCGAUUCAAGGCUACACGCCCGCUUCCACAAGCCUUUUUUCACUUUUGACCUCGGAUCAGGUAGGGAUACCCGCUGAACUUAAGCAUAUCAUAACGGGAAGGAAUAUUCAUUACCUUCUCAUUGCACAAAUUGGGAUGGUUGAGUAUCUCGCCUCU
RNAcentral lists this ribosomal RNA (584 nucleotides) under Paraphoma sp. 6265. RNAcentral's name for it is "eukaryotic LSU rRNA". The stretch from base 174 to 327 matches the Rfam family "5.8S ribosomal RNA". Lineage: Eukaryota; Fungi; Ascomycota; Dothideomycetes; Pleosporales; Phaeosphaeriaceae. The record is from RNAcentral.